GUGAGGGAUAUUGGGCAAUGGGCGCAAGCCUGACCCAGCGACGCCGCGUGGAGGACGACGGGCUUCGGCUCGUAAACUCCUUUUCCCAGGGACGAGAACAAGGACGGUACCUGGGGAAUAAGUCUCGGCUAACUACGUGCCAGCAGCCGCGGUAAUACGUAGGAGGCAAGCGUUAUCCGGAAUUACUGGGCGUAAAGGGCGUCUAGGUGGGACGUCAAGCGGGGUGUGAAAGCUCCUGGCUUAACUGGGAGAGUGCGCUCUGAACUGACGACCUAGAGGGCAGGCGACGGCGGUGGAAUUCCCGGUGGAGUGGUGAAAUGCGUAGAGAUCGGGAGGAACACCAGUGGCGAAGGCGGCCGCCGAGCCUGCACCUGACGCUGAAGCGCGAGAGCGUGGGGAGCAAACGGGAUUAGAUACCCGUGUAGUCC
RNAcentral lists this ribosomal RNA (428 nucleotides) under uncultured bacterium. Its description in RNAcentral is "bacterial SSU rRNA". It matches the Rfam family "Bacterial small subunit ribosomal RNA", at positions 354 to 796 of the family's 1533-position model. The record is from RNAcentral.